Molecule: ribosomal RNA, 447 nt
Filed under: Rhodobacter sp. JA459
Lineage: Bacteria; Pseudomonadati; Pseudomonadota; Alphaproteobacteria; Rhodobacterales
Description: bacterial SSU rRNA
Rfam family: Bacterial small subunit ribosomal RNA
Source: RNAcentral
GGCCUAACACAUGCAAGUCGAGCGAAGUCUUCGGACUUAGCGGCGGACGGGUGAGUAACGCGUGGGAACGUGCCCUUUGCUUCGGAAUAGCCCCGGGAAACUGGGAGUAAUACCGAAUGUGCCCUAUGGGGGAAAGAUUUAUCGGCAAAGGAUCGGCCCGCGUUGGAUUAGGUAGUUGGUGGGGUAAUGGCCUACCAAGCCGACGAUCCAUAGCUGGUUUGAGAGGAUGAUCAGCCACACUGGGACUGAGACACGGCCCAGACUCCUACGGGAGGCAGCAGUGGGGAAUCUUAGACAAUGGGCGCAAGCCUGAUCUAGCCAUGCCGCGUGAUCGAUGAAGGCCUUAGGGUUGUAAAGAUCUUUCAGGUGGGAAGAUAAUGACGGUACCACCAGAAGAAGCCCCGGCUAACUCCGUGCCAGCAGCCGCGUAAUACGGAGGGGGCUAGC